GUGGGGAAUAUUGGACAAUGGGCGAAAGCCUGAUCCAGCCAUGCCGCGUGUGUGAAGAAGGUCUUCGGAUUGUAAAGCACUUUAAGUUGGGAGGAAGGGCAGUAAGUUAAUACCUUGCUGUUUUGAUGUUACCGACAGAAUAAGCACCGGCUAACUUCGUGCCAGCAGCCGCGGUAAUACGAAGGGUGCAAGCGUUAAUCGGAAUUACUGGGCGUAAAGCGCGCGUAGGUGGUUUUGUAAGUUGGAGGUGAAAUCCCCGGGCUCAACCUGGGAACUGCCUCCAAAACUGCAUGACUAGAGUACGGUAGAGGGUAGUGGAAUUUCCUGUGUAGCGGUGAAAUGCGUAGAUAUAGGAAGGAACACCAGUGGCGAAGGCGACUACCUGGACUGAUACUGACACUGAGGUGCGAAAGCGUGGGGAGCAAACAGGAUUAGAAACCCGAGUAGUCC
Molecule: ribosomal RNA, 450 nt
Filed under: uncultured bacterium
Lineage: Bacteria
Description: partial 16S ribosomal RNA
Rfam family: Bacterial small subunit ribosomal RNA
Source: RNAcentral